Molecule: transfer RNA, 73 nt
Filed under: Nanobdellota archaeon
Lineage: Archaea; Nanobdellati; Nanobdellota
Description: tRNA-Glu
Rfam family: tRNA
About the family: Transfer RNA (tRNA) molecules are approximately 80 nucleotides in length.
Source: RNAcentral
GCCCCGAUAGUCUAGUGGUCAAGGACGAGGCCCUUUCGCGGCCUAAACCCGGGUUCGAAUCCCGGUCGGGGCA